AAAGGUUACAGAGGCUGCAGUGGGGACAUGAAGUCUGGGGCCAGAGGGGGAGGAUCUGUAUUUUGUGUUGAGUAUAACUCCUGCAGGUGUUGGUGAUAAGAGUGUUUGGAGUUAGAAUGGUGCACUCCCUGCUGGUGUAGCUCUCUGAGUACUGCUCUCAGGGUAUGAAAGAACAGAUGUGGCAUCUCAAAACCAGUAUCUUGGACAGAGUUGAGUUUUGUUCUCAAAUGCCCAGGAAGAAGGUUGCCAGAAGAGCCCCUUCCUGAAAUCUCAUUUCAGCAUUACAGAGAACUUGUCUCCUUCUUCGUGGUCAGAUGUUCAUGUAAACAGAAGUAAAUUACCUCAGGAAGAGCCCUCUGCAGUUUUCACCCUUAUGAAGCUAUCAUCAUUUUUGCUCAUUAAUUUGAGAGUGAAGUUGCUUGCAGUCCAGCGCUAAUAACAGAAAUACUCCAUUUAUACCCAUUAAGCUCUCAACUUAGUGCUUUUAUAUAGCUGAUUUGUAGCAGAACUUGGUUGGACUCUGCUUUCAUUUAAGCAUAUUUAACCCAGUUUAAUGGGUAUAAAGCAGAAUUGUCAUCCUUAUUUUUUUCUAAUGAGGCACUGUAGAUGUUCUGUCUGUAGGCUCAUUGCUCAAACCACUCUCCUGCUUGCUGCUUGGCUCCUCUCCUGCUUUCUGCCCCAGAACCUGCUGCUCUCUGCUGUUUCGUAGGAGAAAUGUCCAACACAUACACCACAUGGCAUGUGUCAGCCUGAAGGUUCAAGCUGAGAUCACAUAAUGUUCUGCUUCUCCUUGGGGAUGCUUCUGGCCACCUUCCUUCCUAGGACUACACCGUUCUUCCCGUCAUUAUAAGAUGCCCCUGGAGGGAGGUCCAGAGGGACAGGUGGCUGUGGUCACCCCCAGGUGGCCUCUGGGGGGUCAGUCGGGAGCAGGACACCUCAAUUGCUCACACAACAGAACACCGUUCCAGCUGGCCUCUUUCCUGGGGCAACUCCACAGCUUCAGCUGAGCACGUGCUGUGUAACAGACACCCUGAAUAUUCCUAUGAGCAAGACUGACCCUGCUAAGGAUGAAUUCAUUAGCUGUAUGGCCCUGCAGUGCCGGAGAGAGUUUCUGUGCAUCAGAACCUUGCUGGGCUACUUCAAGAAGAAGACUGUAUCUUUCUGAAGAAGAAAGAUGAUGUAAGAUGCCCUCACCUGCACACGUGUAUUCUCACCUUAUAGCAGAUUCCUGCAAACAGCUGUGCUGAACUGGAAGAUAAGGGGUGAACUGUGUUGCAGGAACAAGCAGCCAGAGCACUGAAUUCACUGCCAAAAAACCCAACGUGCCUACAUGUAGAAUGCACCCUGGCAGCAAGAUUCUCUGCUUGCAGAAUCCAAUUGCAGUGGUUCCCAAGUAGCACAUCUGCUGCUGCCAUCAGCCUAAAGCAAGGUGAGGGUUGGGAGCAGGACCUGCAGAGCCUAACAUCCCCCUGCUUCCUUCUGUUCCCAUCAGCAGCUGCUUAGGAAAAGGUACAGGAAUGCAACAAGUGUGGGGUGAUAUUUUUCCCAGAACAGCCCUUUAGCCUCAAGCCAUUUGAAGUUCACAGAAUUCCUGAACCAAGAACCGAAGAUGGAAUCUCUGUGGCAAGAAAAUAAUUUCAAGUGUUUCCAGGGCCUUGAGAGAAACGGGAGUUCACUGAGAGGAGGAGGCUGACUGGGGGAGUGGGGGGUACUGCCUGCAGGCCGGGUCCUGUGCAUUUAAUCCACCCACGGGAUGUGUUUCCAGGAGAAAAACUGCAGCAGGUGCCUGGGAGCAGGGGGAUGAGGCGGACGCUGCUCAGAGCAUCCUGACGUCCCGGGAUCUGGGGGGGGAUCUGUACGCUGCCAUCCCGGGAGCUGCCGCUAGAGGGCGCUCUGAGUCCGCCGCGGCGCCCCCGGCGCUGCACAACCAGGUUCCGGCUGUGACCCGGGGGCACGCAUCCGCACCCGCCCUGAUGUGUCACCUCCCCUUACAUGUCGCGACAUUUAAAGGGCUGGCAGCGCUGGGAAGGGUGAGCUGGCCACGUACGUGGUCUCAGUGCUCGGCUGCUCUGAGCUGUCACCAGAGAGAAGCGCGCUGACAGCAGCGUGGAACGUUAUCAGUGCGGGGGCUGUGUCCUGCGUGUCCCUGCCCUUGCUUUCCUGGGCGCUCCUUUUUGGGAGUUCCCGUCUAGCUCAGCGCCGACAGGCCGGCCCCUGCUUAUGCAGGCGAGGGAGAGCCCGUGAGAAGGAAACCCCCAAAGAAAGAACUUUUUGUGACUGUACCUAUGGAAAUGCUGGCUAUUCCCAACCAACCCGUAGCCACUCAGCUUGAGCAGUGUCAUUUCAACCACAAAAAAACAAGGAUGUGAGAUAACUCCAGUCUCUGCCCCAAACCUCCUCUGGAUCUCACCCACACCUGACCUCUGGGUUACCAUGAGGUGAAAGCAGGAUGUCUGACAGCUGCAGACAAACUCUGUGUCCCCUUAAGAGUACCUGCUCCGUCCUCUUCCUUGCAGGGCUGUGCAGACCCGACCCUGAGCUGGUGCUGGUGCUGUUACUGCCAGGGGACUAAGAAGGACUUUCCUUUCUGUAGUCGUUCCCCUCCCUCUGGGAUCAGAGCUGCUCGUGCUCCCUGCCCUCGUCACCACUAUUUCAGUCCUUUAAAAGAGAUUCCAGGUGUGCUCAGGAAACAGCAAACAUCGUGGAAGGCGGAACCACAAUACCUGUGUUCUAGGUUUGGAUUUUGUGGUUCCACUCGGGCCGUGGCUGGGAAGAAGCCCUGCCUCGAGUCAAGCAGGUGACCUCUGCAACACGCACCCAGCAAGCAGAGGGAGGCAAGUUGUCUUUGAGACGUCUGGGACCAGGGCCUGCAUCGAGCUGCCAUGUCCUGGGGUGUGCUCUGCAUUCCCAGGUGCAGGGCCAAGCGCUGACACCCCCAGGGCUGCGCCCACCUCACACACAGCUCCUGCAGCAAAUCCACCAGC
This is a long non-coding RNA of Numida meleagris (helmeted guineafowl), 2984 nucleotides long. RefSeq lists it as uncharacterized. The transcript has 2 exons. NCBI's taxonomy places the organism in Eukaryota, Metazoa, Chordata, Aves, Galliformes, Numididae. The record is from RefSeq and is a predicted model, not a curated record.